Molecule: ribosomal RNA, 490 nt
Filed under: uncultured bacterium
Lineage: Bacteria
Description: partial 16S ribosomal RNA
Rfam family: Bacterial small subunit ribosomal RNA
Source: RNAcentral
AUUGAACGCUGGCGGCAGGCCUAACACAUGCAAGUCGAACGGUAACAGAAAGCAGCUUGCUGCUUUGCUGACGAGUGGCGGACGGGUGAGUAAUGUCUGGGAAACUGCCUGAUGGAGGGGGAUAACUACUGGAAACGGUAGCUAAUACCGCAUAACGUCGCAAGACCAAAGAGGGGGACCUUCGGGCCUCUUGCCAUCGGAUGUGCCCAGAUGGGAUUAGCUAGUAGGUGGGGUAAAGGCGCACCUAGGCGACGAUCCCUAGCUGGUCUGAGAGGAUGACCAGCCACACUGGAACUGAGACACGGUCCAGACUCCUACGGGAGGCAGCAGUGGGGAAUAUUGCACAAUGGGCGCAAGCCUGAUGCAGCCAUGCCGCGUGUAUGAAGAAGGCCUUCGGGUUGUAAAGUACUUUCAUCGGGGAGGAAGAGAGUAAAGUUAAUACCUUUGCUUAUUGACGUUACCCGCAGAAUAAGCACCGGCUAACUCCGUG